Molecule: signal recognition particle RNA, 91 nt
Filed under: Alphaproteobacteria bacterium
Lineage: Bacteria; Pseudomonadati; Pseudomonadota; Alphaproteobacteria
Description: signal recognition particle sRNA small type
Rfam family: Bacterial small signal recognition particle RNA
About the family: The signal recognition particle (SRP) is a universally conserved ribonucleoprotein involved in the co-translational targeting of proteins to membranes. Archaeal SRP consists of a 7S RNA and homologues of the eukaryotic SRP19 and SRP54 proteins. In most bacteria, the SRP consists of a 4.5S RNA and the Ffh protein (a homologue of the eukaryotic SRP54 protein).
Source: RNAcentral
AUUCCGGUCGCGGACGCUGCGCUCGCCAACCCGGUCAGGUCCGGAAGGAAGCAGCCGUAACGAAUCCGCAGCGGGUCGCGGCCGGGCCUCU